CAGCCUCAGCAAGGUGUUAUCCUUCUCCCAUCACCAAAACAAAUCCCUGUGUUUUGAUCUGUGUUUAGAUAGAGGGGCCUGUGUUUAUACAGAGGAAACAAGAAAUAAAAUGUUUUAGGAGUUCCAUCGUGGCUCAGCGGGUUAAGAACCCGACUAGUAUCCAUGAAGACGUGGGUUGGAUCCCUGGCCUCGCUCAGUGGGUUAAAGGAUCCAGCACUGCCGAAAGCUGCUGUGGUGUAGGUCACAGAUGCAGCUCAGAUCUGGUGUUGCUGUGGAUGUGGUGUAGGCCAGCAGCUGCAACUCCAAUUCAGUCCCUAGCCUGGGAACUUCCAUAUGCCACAGGUGCAGCCAUAAAAAGGAGGAAAAAAAAAAAAAAAACAUUUUAAAAGAAACGGUACCAAUCUAAUUCUUUAGAGAUUAUAAUUUGUACACAGUUUCAUAUAUUUGUAAUUAUCAAUAUAAAGUGUGUAAAGGUGUAAUAAAAUCUUUAAACGAGUUCAAUAACAGAGUGAAACAGAAAUAUUAAAACUUAAAUAAGGAAAAAAGAUAAAAAAAGGAUAUAGUUUAGCAGGUGGUGGGUUCUAGGUUACCCUUAUGAACCACUCACUGAAGUCCACUUAGAAAGAAUAAUAGUGCUGUAUAACCAACAGCAGUUGAAUUAGUUUACACCCCUCAGGACAGAAGUCUGUGGCCUAAAGAAAAAAACUAGAAGAGGCAGGUGCCAAUAAAAAACAAAAAAGGUAAGAGAUAUUAGGGGCUCUGCCCACCAAGAUGGGGGUGCCACACUUCAGAGCCAAAUACAGAUGCUUGCUAACACGCUUCUUGAGUCAACAAUUAUGGAAGAAACACUUCUAUUAAUGUCAGUGCAGUUUUUGUUCAGAGGAUAGAGGGACUGGAGGAGAGGGAACUUGCUAAACAUGCAUUGAUUUGAAUUCUGUAAUUUGCCAGGCAUUGUGCCAAGUGAUUUUUCCUGCCUACUCAUUUAACUGUUCAGAAUAUGCCCAUAAAGUAAAUAUUAUAAACCCAUUUUGCAGAUGAGAAAGCUGAAGCGUAGGUUUUAAGCACUUUUCCCCAAGACCAAACAAUUAGUAAGUGACAGAGCCAGACCGGCCUAUCUGACUCCAGGGUCAGUGUUCUUUUUCACAGUGACUAAGGCUAUCCAUCUUUCUUUUUGUCUGAGUGAGGGCAAAUUAUUGCCAAAAUUUUAAUUUGCAUCACAGUUUUCAUUGCCAAAGAAGUAAAGUGUUUUCUAUACAUGAUGCCACAAGUGUUAGAUACAGUAUUGAGUGAGCUUAGGAACAAGUAUAAUUCUUGUAGUUUCCAAUAUUAACACCUAUGGUUAGAAAUGUAGACUGUAUUUCUGAAUUGAACUGAAUUACACAGAAAUUGAAUUUAACAGGCCUGACUUACUGACUUUUGAAUACAAAGAAUUUGGAGUUAAAGAAUUAAAAUUUUCCAGAGUCCCCUUGUGACUCAGUGGGUUAAGGAGCAGUGAGUCACUGCUGUGGCUCUGGUUACUGCAGUGGUAUGGGUUCAAUCCUUGGCCCAGUGAAUUUCCACAUACCACAGAUAUGGCCAAAAAAAUAAAAUAAAAUAAGAAAGGGUUAAGAAUUUUAACUUUGUAUGGAGUUCCUGCUGUGGUGCAAUGGGAUCAGUGGCAUCUUGGGAGCACUGGGUCGCAGGUUCGAUCUCCAGCAUAGCUUAGUGGGUUAAGGAUCCAGUGUUGCCCCAGCUAUGGCUUAGGUCGUGACUGCAGCUCAGAUCUGAUCCCUGGCCCAAGAACUCCAUAUGCCGUUGGGCAGCCAAAAAUAACCCCCCAAAAAUAAUAAUUUUGUAAAUUAAAGAAACUAUUUGUAGAGGAAUAAAUAGCUAAGGCUGAUAUCUUUCCUUGAAAAGAGAUAAAGCAAACACAAAAGAGAGAGUGCCAUUUCCAGACAGAGACUGAGCCGGGAAGGAAACCUAAGCACCAGGUCUUUAAGGAUUCUUUCUGCUCUAUGACCUCCCUCCAGAGGAUGAUCUGGAGGGCUCUCUGCUCUGAGCAAAUCUCUUUGGAGACAGUUCGGCAUCGUCCUGCUUGGCUUCUUCCCUUUCUAAAACUGUCUCAGCUUGUCUUUGAAAUAUUUGUGACAUCAAAAUGCAAUUCUGUCUUUUCUCUUGCCUUUUCUCAGAACAGCAGUCCAUAAUUACUCCCUCUACCACCACCCAUAAACCCCUCGAAUAGACGUCUGCAUGUAUAAUAUAUCAUGCAUGUGUGCAACAGAAUGUGUCUUUUUUUGCAUAGAGAAAGCCUUGGAAAUCUGACAAAGUCUUCAAGUUUCUCUAACAGAAUUUUAAGCACAGUGUCUUUUUUUCUUCUGCAUUUAAUACUGACCCCAGGCAUCUUCUGUGGCUUUAAAGUCUACAAAAUUAUUAUUCAAUUUACAUUCUUAGGGUUACAUGAAUUCCAGUUCCUCACAGGCAUUGUGGUUGGCUUGUCCUGGGAUAUUCAAGUUGCCUUAUCCCUAUUUCUCUUACACACUCAGUCAAGAUUUUAAAGGUCAUUUUAAAAAGCCUUUGGGAUGUCAUGUUUCAUGGAGUGCCUCGACCAUGGUCUGGAGUUCUAAAGAGGUUGCACAGUCACCUGCAUCGCUGACAGAAGCUACUUUGCUUAGGGUGUCGCGCCACUUGGGAAAGCUCCAGGUAGAGGAGAAUUUAUCACAAUAGGAAUAUAGUAUGAAGUUAUUUGCAAAGAAAUAUAUUAACCAGAUAAAUACCCAGCGUGGAUAUCAGGGUGGAUUAGCUCUGCAUGCCAUUUAAAGAAAGAAAACUACUUUGUAAUAGUAAAAUUAUUUUUCUAUCUCUGAUCUCACCUGCCGCAUUUCCCUUCCAUUCUGCUGAUAAUUUCAUACACUUUUAUGAAGAGCAAUUCCAGACCCCAUUAUUGUUCCAAGCUCUGACAUAAAUGAAAAACUGCCAUAACCUUCCCUCCUGCUCAUAAAGUCCUCAAAGAGGUGGAUCAGACCAAAGAAUCUUCUGACUUAAGGUAAAUUUUUUAUUCUUUUACAAAAAUCCCCCAGGCAGGAAUAAGGAAGAAGUAUUUCAAACCCAAUUCCAAAUAUUUCACUUGGAAUCACUCCCUGAGAAGAAUGGAGCAGCUGCCAAUUAGCAUAUCUGUAGAUCUUCUGAACAAACUCAGUAAUAUUUUCAUUAAUAAGUUGACAGAACAGAGCCCCCAGCUGUCACCUGGGUACAUAUCCCAACAGGAGAAUAAAAAAGUUAAAUAAAAUAUAAAAAGGUCAGAUGAUUAUUAUUUCUUUAAAUACCUUUGUAAGGCAUGGAGAGACAAGGUCUACGAAGUCCAACUGGUCUACCCCAGCUCAUUCAUGUUACAGGUGAAGAAACUAAGGCAGAGGAAGUUAGGAGAGCUGUACGAGGUCAGCUAUCUACUUAGUGCCAGAGCCAGCACUGAUGCCCAGGUAUCCUGACCCUGAUCUAGUGUUCCUCUCACUAUAAAACUGAUAAAACAUAAUCUCUAAUGUGCUGUUUAACUAUUUCCAUAGCUUAGAGAGACGACCUGGCAAUUUGUUUUGUUUUUCUCAAAAGCUUAAUUGCACCUAGUAAUCACCUAUCGCUGUCCUUUCAGAUACCCACUGAAACAACUGUAACAUCGCUAAAAUACAAAUGAUAUGGUUCCAUUUCCUUUUUUUCAUUUUUACCCAAAAUUUGUUAUUGGGAUGGUUUUCUCCUCAUGUGAUUCAGGGUGCUCUUUUAUUCUAGCGACUUUUACUCUAGGUAGUCACAAAAUGGUCUGCUAUCUAGAGCUGCCCAGGGCUCAUUGUGUGGCCAUGGAUCCCCACUUCUAAAAUGCCUGUGACAGGGAGUUCCCAUCGUGGCUCAGUGGUCAACGAACCCCAUUAGUAUCCAUGAGGAGGUGUGAUCCAUCCCUGGCCUUGCUCCGUGGGUUAAGGAUCCAGCGUUGCCAUGAGCUGUGGUGUAGGUCACAGACGUGGCUCAGAUCCCAAGUUUCUGUGGCUGUGGUGUAGGCCAGCAGCUACAGCUCCGAUUUGACCCCUAGCCUGGGAACUCCAUAUGCUGCAGGUGUGGCC
RNAcentral lists this long non-coding RNA (4085 nucleotides) under Sus scrofa (pig). Its description in RNAcentral is "lncRNA (ENSSSCG00000058365.1)". Lineage: Eukaryota; Metazoa; Chordata; Mammalia; Artiodactyla; Suidae. The record is from RNAcentral.